RNAcentral lists this ribosomal RNA (250 nucleotides) under uncultured bacterium. RNAcentral describes it as "partial 16S ribosomal RNA". It matches the Rfam family "Bacterial small subunit ribosomal RNA", at positions 793 to 1055 of the family's 1533-position model. The record is from RNAcentral.
GUCCACGCCGUAACGAUGGAUACUAGCUGUUGGGAGCAAUCUCAGUGGCUAAGCGAAGUGAUAAGUAUCCCACCUGGGAGUACGUUCGCAAGAAUGAACUCAAAGGAAUUGACGGGCCCGCACAAGCGGUGGAGCAUGUGGUUUAAUUCGAUGAUACGCGAGGAACCUUACCAAGGCUUAAAUGUAGAUUGACCGAUUUUGGAAACAGAUCUUUCGCAAGACAAUUUACAAGGUGCUGCAUGGUUGUCGU